GGUGCGGAAUCCGAAAAGCAGAAUGAGUAGGAA
This 33-nucleotide non-coding RNA is filed under the name unclassified sequences. The record is from RNAcentral.